UGUCUUCUCCAGAGGACUUUGUGACCUUUACAGCUUUUUCCGGGACUCUACCUAUUCAUUGGCCUUAAAAGUCGUUUUCAGUGAACCACUAUGUAAUAAUUGAUUCUUCCUUCAAGGUCUACUUCUAGUUGGAAAUAUGAAGAAUACAGUUAGAAACAUGAAGCAAAGAUCCAGUCAGAGUGUUACAGGGCUAAGUUGAGGGUAUUUUUUAGUUUUUGUUCUGUGGUGCUGAGAAUUGAGCCCAGGGCCUCCUGUAUGGUAGGCAAGUGCUCUAUCCUGGAUGUGUGUCCCCAGCCCAAGGUGGAAUUCUUAAGCCUAUGCCUAAAUAUGGUGCAUUAUGACAGAAAUCAUUCUUAUUUUGAAUUACAACAAUGUUGCUCAGGAAAUCAGUAUUUUUCUUCUCAGUAUGUGCAUAUUGCACUGUUAGAUCAUGGAAAUAUUUGAAUGCUUUAUUUCAUUUUAUGUAUGCAAACUCUGUAAAUCUUGUAUAAUGUAUUUUGUACAAUUGGAAAAUGUAAUAGUAGACUAUUGUUAGCAUGUACAACUGUAAAACUUUUGAAACUUUAUGCCCUUUAUUCAUAUUUUUAAAAGAUCUGAAAAUGUAAUAAAGUUUCUAUUUUAUUAUUCAGUCUAAAGUGAAAAGCUGGUGAAUUUAACUGGGUAAAGCCUACUUUCCCCCUUCUACUUUCUAAUUGUUUGAUACAGAGAUACAAGGUAGAGCAAGUUGCCGGAGGUCUCCAAGUUCAGAUUCCAGUUUGUUCCACUGGAUUACUGGUAGGACGUAAGUGAAACGAAAGCUCUAGGGUUUUAGUUUAAGGGAGUAAAUUGUGUUUUUUUCCAUGUGUUUUUCCAUUUUCGAAAGCAUCCUAAAGUAUUUAGGUUUGUUUUUUUUACUAAGUUUUUGCUAGCUGCAGACUUUACCAUCUUAAACCAAAGCCACUGACACUGUACACACAGAAAUGCACACCUGGGAGGGGAGGAACGUUAACAAGAAUCUCGGAAUGGCUUACCAUUCUGUGACAGUCCAGGGAGUCAGUGGUUAUGCUAAUAUUAUACUGCCUGCAAAUCACUGUCCUCACAACUUUUUCCUAAUCCCAUCCUAGAGUUUUCUUUUGUUGUUCAUGGCGGUGGUUUCUUCAGCAGUGCAUGAUGCAGGCAUCUCUGCUCCAUAAAUAUGUAUUUCACUAAAUAAAAUGUUAUUAUCAAACUCGCUUUCUAUAUCAAACGAAGUUAAAAGCAAAACAUCUUAGGGGCGAGAAUUUAGCUCAGUGGCACUGCACCUGCCUUGCAAGUGCAAGAUCCUGAGUUCAAUCCCUGCUACCAAAAAAAGCAAAACAUCUUAAUAGUAAAUAAAAU
This 1356-nucleotide long non-coding RNA is filed under the name Heterocephalus glaber (naked mole-rat). RNAcentral's name for it is "lncRNA (ENSHGLG00100046876.1)". Lineage: Eukaryota; Metazoa; Chordata; Mammalia; Rodentia; Bathyergidae. The record is from RNAcentral.